UCACAGCUUACGCUGGCAGUUUCUCUAGAGUUCCACCAAUUAAGGUAUGGCAACUAGAAAUAGGGGUUGCGCUCGUUAUGGGACUUAACCCGACACCUCACGGCACGAGCUGACGACAGCCAUGCAGCACCUAGACAGUUGUCUUGCGAAAGUCUCUUUUCAGAAACGGUCAACUGUCUUUCAAGCCCAGGUAAGGUUCCUCGCGUACCAUCGAAUUAAACCACAUGCUCCUCCGCUUGUGCGGGCCCCCGUCAAUUCCUUUGAGUUUCAACCUUGCGGUCGUACUGGAAGCAAGCU
This 297-nucleotide unclassified non-coding RNA is filed under the name uncultured Sphingobacteriales bacterium. RNAcentral's name for it is "contains 16S-23S intergenic spacer region". Lineage: Bacteria; Pseudomonadati; Bacteroidota; Sphingobacteriia; Sphingobacteriales. The record is from RNAcentral.